GAGGGGAAAAGAGAAUACCCUAGAUGGCAUUGGGAUCGAAUAGUGGCAUGAUCCAACCGUAGAUUCCAUGAUUCAUCGGUAAGAACUAUGAUCACUAGAGAAUUCAAAAGAAGAUUUUAUUCAAAUUUCAAGAGAUUUGGGAUGUCGUAAAAAAGAGAUUUGAAGAGCCCACGAAGAAAGAAGAAGCCGUUCUUGAUGUAGUAAAGAAG
RNAcentral lists this long non-coding RNA (209 nucleotides) under Elaeis guineensis (African oil palm). RNAcentral's name for it is "long non-coding RNA (EGUI_LNC028549)". Lineage: Eukaryota; Viridiplantae; Streptophyta; Magnoliopsida; Arecales; Arecaceae. The record is from RNAcentral.